RNAcentral lists this ribosomal RNA (537 nucleotides) under Triticum aestivum (bread wheat). Its description in RNAcentral is "partial small subunit ribosomal RNA". The record is from RNAcentral. Lineage: Eukaryota; Viridiplantae; Streptophyta; Magnoliopsida; Poales; Poaceae.
AUGUCCCUCGUCUGCUCCUGCGACAGUACGUCCAAGAGAGCUUCGGAGCACCACGAGGCCAUGGUUGAAGUGGUGCCGACAGAAGGAAGGGACCGGAGGAGAAUAAGUGUGGGUCUUUGGCUAUGGCUGGGAGCUGGGGCUCAAGUUAAUAUAGCGGGGGCAGGGUUGAUGGAUCCUCGAUGGACUGCAAAAGCCUAUGAGAUCCGCAUGAAGGUCAUCUGCACCAAUCCCUGCCACACCGACAUCAUCUUCUCGCAAGGCAAGUGCUACUCGUGCAGCAGCAGAGCGUUUGAGUGGAAGAAUGUGUGCACUAUGCUGUCAUUCGUCGUCGGCCCCGAGAUGCUCCGCGAUGGCACCAUCAAGUUCAGGGACAGCCAUGGGGCAUUUUGCUGCUCGUCUUCCUCUGUUUUGUGGUUAAUUACAAAAUUUACCAAUCCGUACUAUGAAUCUGCAGCAUUCAUUCUUCAUUGGUUAUAUGGUGCUGGGUUUGAGGGUGGCAGCCUCGGCUGGACAACAGAUGUAAGAUUGCGAAGAUAA